UUUUUCCAGACCCACAAUACAGAGAAAUCUAGUCUCGGUGGGACAUGAGGGAGUGUAGCACGGCCAUUCGAAAAUACUAUCGAGUUUUUACUGAUACAAAGCUUAAUGCCAAUCGGUGAAGUAUCCCUUUAAGCUUGCAU
Etheostoma cragini (Arkansas darter) is the source of this 140-nucleotide long non-coding RNA. RefSeq lists it as uncharacterized. NCBI's taxonomy places the organism in Eukaryota, Metazoa, Chordata, Actinopteri, Perciformes, Percidae. The transcript is spliced from 3 exons. The record is from RefSeq and is a predicted model, not a curated record.